ACAAAUCACAUACAUAUGACUUAUAUAUAAUUCUAUUUGGCCAUUCUGGAAUUCAUGUAAUGAAAGGGGAGAAAACAUUUCCAGAAAUUUAGAUAUGAAAGUUAAUUAGUCAGUUUAAAUACAGGGCAGCAUAUCUCAUAAAAUUCAAAUUAAUGAGCCAAUCAAAUCUCUCUCCCUUUCAGCCAGCAUUGUUCAAUACAUUGAGAGAAUAUUCAACAUGCUUAAUGAUUAAAAUAUGUAAUGAUCUCGUUACGGUAAUUGAGAAAGACGUUACUACGUAUUUGAUGAUUUUGCUGUACCUCUAAGGACCGAAUAAACAAAGCAGAUUUCACCAAUACCAGCAACUGUCAAAAAACCGUUUCUGGGAAGUUUUACACAUAGACCAAUACUUUCAGUAAAUCUUCAAGAUAUAAACAUUUUGGAAAUUUAAAAUAAUUGAAGAAAUCUACAUGCCCAUCUGCUCUAUUUUUCCAGGUGGUAAUUUUGAAGACUGCAUAAUGAAGGGUUUUUUAUUUUCUGUUUUUGCUAUGAAAGCAUUAUUCCUUAAAUUUCAAAGUUAAUUUUUUCAUAUUUUCCUAUAUUAUUUCCUGGAGCUCACUUAAUAACUUGCUGCUAUGAAAGAUUGAACUCCGUCUUUCUGUGCUAAAAUACUUGCUGUAUCUAAUGUUAGUUUGCUGUUUAUAUGUCAUCUGAAGGAGGAAUCAGAAAAGUCACAGAAAGUCUUUCCUCUCAAAAAUCUCUUAAAUGUAACAUUAAUAAUCUCAGUGUAAAGGUUAAAGCUGACAAGCUCAGCAUCUUUAACUGCUGAGCCAUUGUGCCCUGGAAUCUUAGUGUGGUUUAAGAUUUACUGGAAGAAAAUAGUGUUUUAUUUCUUAGAUAGAUGGAGAGCCACAUUUAGCCAAAAUGAAGGACUUUUGACUAGUAAUUUCCUUUUUAUAUUAAAUAAAAAAAUGUUGUAUAGUACAAAUUAUAUAGAAUAUAGAUGAAAAGUGAUUAUGCCUUUACCAUAUCUUUUCCAAGAUACCAUCAUUUUAUAUUACCUAUUUCCAAAGUUUAUUGUUGUGCACAUAACCAAGAAUGCCUAUUUAACAAUCAAUA
Molecule: long non-coding RNA, 1098 nt
Filed under: Pseudonaja textilis
Lineage: Eukaryota; Metazoa; Chordata; Lepidosauria; Squamata; Elapidae
Description: lncRNA (ENSPTXG00000003830.1)
Source: RNAcentral